RNAcentral lists this ribosomal RNA (480 nucleotides) under uncultured bacterium. RNAcentral describes it as "partial 16S ribosomal RNA". It matches the Rfam family "Bacterial small subunit ribosomal RNA", at positions 28 to 523 of the family's 1533-position model. The record is from RNAcentral.
GACGAACGCUGGCGGCGUGCUUAACACAUGCAAGUCAGACGAUGAAGUUCCUUCGGGAAUGGAUUAGUGGCGAACGGGUGAGGAACACGUGAGAAACCUGCCUUUCAUUUUGGGAUAACUCCGGGAAACCGGGGCUAAAACCGAAUACUCCGUCUCGGCGGCAUCGCUGAGCCGGGAAAAAAUUUUGAUGAAAGAUGGUGUCGCGGCCUAUCAGCUAGUUGGGGAGGUAAUGGCUCACCAAGGCAACGACGGGUAGCCGGCCUGAGAGGGCGACCGGCCACACUGGGACUGAGACACGGCCCAGACUCCUACGGGAGGCAGCAGUGGGGAAUAUUGGGCAAUGGGCGCAAGCCUGACCCAGCGACGCCGCGUGAGGGAUGAAGGCCUUCGGGUUGUAAACCUCUUUCAGUAGGGAAGAAGCGAAAGUGACGGUACCUAAAGAAGAAGCACCGGCUAACUAUGUGCCAGCCGCCGCAGUAA